RNAcentral lists this transfer RNA (71 nucleotides) under Marmota monax (woodchuck). RNAcentral's name for it is "tRNA.Val". It matches the Rfam family "tRNA". From Rfam's summary of the family: Transfer RNA (tRNA) molecules are approximately 80 nucleotides in length. Lineage: Eukaryota; Metazoa; Chordata; Mammalia; Rodentia; Sciuridae. The record is from RNAcentral.
GAAAGUGUAGCUCAGUGGUAGGGUGUGUGCUUAACAUGCAUAAAUCCCUGGGUUUGACCCCCACCACUGCA